UCAUGAUUAACAUAUGCAAACAAGCACCAGCAACAACCUGACACUACAUGAGAACACAAAAGAACAAACAAGUAGUCUUGUUGCAAAGUAACAAGACAUACUGAUCGAGAAAAUGAGAAACUAGGUCGAGAGAGAUGAGAGAGAGAGUCAUGUAAUAACUAAUAACUAUAAACCGAUAAAGGACUCACAGGAACGUGAGAGAAUCUUUGUCUAUCUCCGAAAUUUUCACAAAGAUUCUAGGGAAAGUUAAGAGAUGUGAAUCUCCGGUAGGAGAGUACUGGUUUGGGAUCUAUUCUUCACGGCUUCACCUCCUGUUGUUUUAUCGGAUCGUUAGAGAUCGAGAACUUUGAUCGCCUGAAAACAGAGAAUCCGAUUAUGGACUCAGGAAGACUUUGAGUUUCGGCCGGAAAAUUGAAACCCUAAAGUUUUUUUUUUUCGUUUUCGAGAGAGUAAACCCUAAUAACCUAAACUCUGUUUCGUAGAUCUCUUGCUUGGAAAACAAGUUGUAUGUUUAUUCCAUCUUACCUAUUUUUGUGCGGUCAACAUUGCAUUCCAAUAUCCUCGUAUUUUCCAAAAUAUUAUCUCUUAAACAAACAAGAUUUUGAUUCUUUUUAAGGAAGAUUUUUGUAAGUCUUUGAAACCCACGCAUUA
RNAcentral lists this long non-coding RNA (651 nucleotides) under Capsella grandiflora. RNAcentral describes it as "long non-coding RNA (CGRA_LNC001781)". Lineage: Eukaryota; Viridiplantae; Streptophyta; Magnoliopsida; Brassicales; Brassicaceae. The record is from RNAcentral.